RNAcentral lists this long non-coding RNA (4371 nucleotides) under Homo sapiens (human). RNAcentral's name for it is "HSALNT0375750". The record is from RNAcentral. Lineage: Eukaryota; Metazoa; Chordata; Mammalia; Primates; Hominidae.
CAUCUCACAGAAAGCCAGAGGGGAGGACGUGGGGCUAUCAGUCCAACUCCUCAGUUAAUAGCCAGGGAAACAGAAGCCCAGGGAGAUAAAGACGGUGGCAGAGGAGGAAUUCUUUCUUAGCAGAUCUUCCAUUCCUAAUCCAGGAUCAUUUCCAGGGCUCCCAGGCAAAGGCUUCUCUUUUCUAGGUUCUCAAGAUGCUUGAAUCCUGGGACAAACACAGAGGAAGGAGCUCCUAAGGAUGGGGGCAGUGGUGAGGAAACAGGCCACUGAGACAGUGAUGGUGUUUGUAGGCAAAGAAGCUACUUGUAUUUGCCAACCACACCAGGAGGCCAGGUUAGGAGUUUCAAAACAAGUUUGCUGCCAAGAAAAACACACAAAAACCCAUAGAUUCAUGCUCUGUAAAUCUCAAGAAGCAACUCUGUCCCAUCCCCAGUCAUGCCCUACACUGGGUCUGUCUUAGAAUUCUAUGUGCAAACUGGCCCCUGCUACUUAUGACACCCCCGAGGGCCUGGCUUUCAUUCAUCCUCCUAUCCAAUCACUAUCUGGUCCCCAGGGUAAAGUGCAGUAUCUAUACCCAGAGUCACAGCCUGCAGAGCCUCUGGGAGAAGCCGGCCACCAGGAUGCUCUUCCCAGUGACGUAGCUGGCAUCUGUAGAGUGCAGGAAGGACAUGGUUCCUGCACAGUCCUCUUAACCCCUGCAUGGAAAGAGAACAGAACUGAGGCCUCAGCCUAUGCUCUAAUGAACUCUGAUCGCUGGUCCUGCUGCUCUGAACAUAGGGCCCAGCACCACCUCCAGCCCUGAAUCCCACCUCCCUGGCCCAUCAGAGGCCUGGGCUCCAUAGAGAGAUAUGGUGGGGCCCCUCAUGCCCUCCAGAUCCCACCUCAUGGGCUGUGCAUCCCCAGACUCUGUGAGAGGACGGGCUGAUAGGUGAGGAUACAGUCCGAGAGCCCUGUCUCCCCUGGAGAAGACUACCUGUCUCUGCUAUCCACAGGGGUUUUUAAAGGAGUUUUGCAGAGCCAGAUUAUCUUCAACCUGAAAAAAUUCAGAGGCUCAGUGCUAAAUAGAACUGUGAAGGGCCAGAGAGGCUGCCAUGGCAGACUCAUGCCCUUGUGGGCAGAUGGCCCUGCUCAGUGCUGGGUCUGCAGUCCCUCGACUGCUCCCAGAGAGGACAGCCCUGGUGCAGAUACAGGAAGUGAGAGGCUGCUGGUCUCACAAAGCCAUGGCCAGACUGGGGAAACCAACAAAGUGGUUGGUGGGGGCAACUGGGAGCUGCUGAACCCUCAUCAUGUGGUUAAAGUCAGUUCUUGAUGAUUCCUGGCAACAGGCGGGGCACCUGGAUACCCUUUGGUGCCAGCUCUAUAGCCAAGGGCUUGGUGAGUCCCAGCAGUGCAGUUUUGCUGGUGGUAUAGGCCUCCAGCAUCUAAGAAGGAAAUGAAAUGGAUAAGGUGCACUGCGCUGGAGGAGAGGGGCUCUUGCUAGACCCCCAAGGCUAUGGAGGAUGACUAUGCCUGCACUUACACCUGCACUCACACCAGCACUCACACCUGCACUCACAUGUUUCUCCCACUCCACUCCAGGAAAUUACCAGUGAACAAAAUCUGAGCAGGAGCGGAAUGAAGCCUGGGCUUAAAGAAAAGUCAGGAAGGCAGAGGCUGUGUUCACCCAUGCUUAGCCCAGAGAGAAUUGCUUAGGGUGCAGAGCCAGGGAAAUGCACUAAAGAGACCCAUGACCAGAUUCCUGCUCUACCAUGACUGGUCGCCCUUGGGCAAGUCACUUAUCAUCUCCAUGUCUCAAUCUCCUCCUCUGCCACAGGGAGUUUAUCAGGCCUGCUCUGUGACAGUCAUAGGAAUGUCAUGCAGGGACACUGAUAGCCUAUAGUGCCCCCUGGUGUAAAUUUUUUAAAAAAACUUUCUUCUGAGCUUAUGCAGCCCCACUAGUGCCUGACUUUGUGAGAGCAAAUAGUAAAGCCACCCUGUUCUUCGGGUGAAUGUAGCCCCAAGCCAGGGUACAUGUCUUGUCAAGCAGAGCAUGGACUGGAUUUCAGCUCCUACUUGUUUCUAGACUAGGCGACCUUGUGCAGUGAACAACCUAUACAACCACACAUGGCAGCCCUGGGGCUUUAGGAACUAAAUGAGAUAAUGGCAAUAAGUGCAGUUUUAAAUGUGGGCAGGACAGGCAUCCAGUGUUGUGCACUUGGAUUUUACUAUCAUGCGGGAUCAAUAUUUACCUCCCUCAUCCUGGCAACCACUCCACUGCCCUAUCCCCAAACUCCCCACUAACUGUUUGAGGUGCACAGACAGCAGCAGAGGCAAUCAGCACCACAGGCCUUCCCCUGUUAGAAGCGGACAGGCAUGACAAGUGGAAGAUGUACCUAAUUAAGAAGCUAUUUGCUUCCAGAAAAUGAGCUUCCAAGUGACGAGGAGGCAGAACUGAGGAAGAGGAAAGAAGGGAAAGUAGGGACAGUGCCAGGGUCUCUGGGAAGAAGUGACUUCUUUGGGGAAGUUAGAGCUGAGAAGGUCCGACACAAGCUCCCCUGCUCAGAUGCCCCAGGACUCCUAGGAACUAGCACCCAGGCAGGGCCAAUCAGCAUCUGGAAUUCUGGAGAACAGGACCUGGGAACAUGGAGCCAUCAGUGUGAGGCUGCCACCUGGGGACGGCCACUCCCACAGGAGGAAAAUGCACUGAGAGUGGCCUGGGUUGCAAAUCUCACUUCGGAGCAGGAGCAGUAACUAGUUGCUGACUUGGACUCAAACAAGCCCAGACGAAUGGCAAAAGGUGGAGAGUAGCUCCGCCAUGAGAGACCCCAGCAGGGGAGGGACUGAAGGAGCUUCUUUUGGCCUCUCUGGAAAGGUUAAGGUCUCAUGGCUAUACCACAUGGCCUUGUCCCAUCCUUGCAGCUACCACUGGCCUGCGUUUCUCAGACGACAGAGCACGUCAGAGGUGAUUGGGGCUCCCCUCUGGGUGUGGAGUCCGCCCGCCACAUUCUUUCCAAAUGUUCCCCUUCACUGUGUUGGUCACAUCCUGUGGGGCCCAAGAAGCCUGGAGACGUGGUUUAGGAAGUGACAUGAGAGCCUGGCAUCCAGGGCACACUCCACCCUGCUCUCCUUGGGAUAUUCCACUUCCUGGGCCCCAUCCCCCAGUGUUGCCUCGGGGUAGCAGAGAGCAAGGCAAAGUCUCCCCAGCUCCCAUGGAGCCCUCACCCCAUCUUCUCCAUAUGGGGCAAAGGUUGGCUCAGCAGCAGGGCCAGGGCCUUUGCGUUCCUGCUUGGGAUUUGAAGUCAGAAAGAGGAGGGGAAGGGGGCCUGUCCGUUCAGCCGGCACCUCUGCUCACCUGGAGUCCCACGGACCAGACUGAGGGGAGGCACUGAGGGUCUGCGCUGCUGCUCUCUAUGUGACCGCUGAGUCAUGGAGGAAAAAGGGACCUGAGGCAUGUGCCCUGCCCCCCGGGAACACUUGGCUAAAAACCACCUCACUGUGAUUUGCUGCACAGACUCGCCGCAGGGCACAGCACCCUCCAGAAAAACAGGUCACUGAAAAUAAUAUCAGGGGAGGAAGUCAAGAAGGCUGCUGUAUUCAUUCUGCUUUAAUGAGUAGAGGAGAAAUCUUUUGCCACAUUUGGAGAAAGGAUUGAAGAGAAAUGAGAGCCUGGAUGUGAAGAAAACAUUAGGAAGCUGCAGCAGUAACCUAUGUGAGAAAUUAAGAGAACCUAAAUCAGAUCCGUUGGCCAUCAAGAUUUCACUCAUUUUGAGACCUAGAGAUUGGUGCUCCUGGAGCUGUGAAAUGCGUGGCCUCUGUAGCCCUGUGAAGGUCUUGUUUCUAUGGCGAUACAAGAGAAAGUCUUUGCAGAGUUGUUGCAGCUGGAAGUCUUCACUUACUUUAAGAGCUCAUUAAAGCUAGUGGAGCCUUCCAAACCUGAAAUGAACUGCUCCUUACAGAACUGCCAAAAGGAAGAAAUAGAAAAGAAAAAAGAAGCAAUAGGUCCAAAAAGUCAAGAGAAGCUAUGCUGUACCCUCAACACUCUGCCUAGAGAUUUCUUCCAUGAAAUAUCCUAGUUCACAUCUGCCUCCUGCAAACUACUAGGACAUGGACACUGCUCAGCCAAGUUCUGUGCCAAUUUGUAACAAGAAUGGCCUUUCCUCCUAUUUCCAAUAAGGCCCCAUCAGCAGAGGGAGGAGAAGAGGAGAAGCAGCUGGACAUCAGAGACUAUGGUUGGACAUUGGAGAGAAGCAGCUUGACUUCAAAGGGACGGCUUGAUGGCAUUGCUUCGGAGAGGAGUUCAGCCAGGGACAGCUGGACUCUAGGGGAAUAUUAUCUUCCCACACCAUCCACUUUUCAGCUCCCCUUCCCACUGAGAACCACUUUCAUUGGCAA